GACAGAGGGUGCAAACGUUGUCCGGAUUUACUGGGCGUAAAGAGCGCGCAGGCGGUCGUUCAAGUCGAGUGUGAAAGCCCCCGGCUCAACUGGGGAGGGUCAUUCGAUACUGAUCGACUCGAAGGCAGGAGAGGGUAGUGGAAUUCCCGGUGUAGUGGUGAAAUGCGUAGAUAUCGGGAGGAACACCAGUGGCGAAGGCGACUACCUGGCCUGUUCUUGACGCUGAGGCGCGAAAGCUAGGGGAGCAAACGGG
Molecule: ribosomal RNA, 253 nt
Filed under: uncultured bacterium
Lineage: Bacteria
Description: partial 16S ribosomal RNA
Rfam family: Bacterial small subunit ribosomal RNA
Source: RNAcentral